AUCUUCUUGCUGAAAAUCUGUAGAUUUAAGAGAGAAAAUCAAACACUUUCAUCUUUGUUCUUCAAGCUUCAAGUCUAGGUAAGGAGAAUGCUUAGUGGAUAACCAAAGGCCUAUUUUUGUGGUGUCUCGUGGCCUGGGAUGGAUUCUAGACCUAUAGUUUUAUAUAAGCCAUGUAUUACCUCGUUUGUUGGCAUAGGGCCAAGUUAUUGUUGUAACUUAACUUUCCUUUAUGACUUGUAUGACUUAUAUAGCAACGCUCUAGUUAAAUGUAAUCACCUAGUAUUUGCGAUGAUUUA
Molecule: non-coding RNA, 296 nt
Organism: Camellia sinensis
Lineage: Eukaryota; Viridiplantae; Streptophyta; Magnoliopsida; Ericales; Theaceae
Source: RefSeq, a predicted model, not a curated record